This 468-nucleotide ribosomal RNA is filed under the name uncultured bacterium. RNAcentral's name for it is "partial 16S ribosomal RNA". It matches the Rfam family "Bacterial small subunit ribosomal RNA", at positions 28 to 507 of the family's 1533-position model. The record is from RNAcentral.
GGCGAACGCUGGCGGCGUGCUUAACACAUGCAAGUCGAACGGAAAGGCCCUGCUUUUGUGGGGUGCUCGAGUGGCGAACGGGUGAGUAACACGUGAGUAACCUGCCCUUGACUUUGGGAUAACUUCAGGAAACUGGGGCUAAUACCGGAUAGGAGCUCCUGCUGCAUGGUGGGGGUUGGAAAGUUUCGGCGGUUGGGGAUGGACUCGCGGCUUAUCAGCUUGUUGGUGGGGUAGUGGCUUACCAAGGCUUUGACGGGUAGCCGGCCUGAGAGGGUGACCGGCCACAUUGGGACUGAGAUACGGCCCAGACUCCUACGGGAGGCAGCAGUGGGGAAUAUUACACAAUGGGCGGAAGCCUGAUGCAGCAACGCCGCGUGCGGGAUGACGGCCUUCGGGUUGUAAACCGCUUUCGCCUGUGACGAAGCGUGAGUGACGGUAAUGGGUAAAGAAGCACCGGCUAACUACGUG